Molecule: ribosomal RNA, 1506 nt
Filed under: Triticum aestivum (bread wheat)
Lineage: Eukaryota; Viridiplantae; Streptophyta; Magnoliopsida; Poales; Poaceae
Description: partial small subunit ribosomal RNA
Source: RNAcentral
ACUACGCGGCGGUACGCGUCCGGAGAGGCCGACCUCGACGUCGGCAGCGAGUUCCCCAGGGUCUACAGCUGGGCGCAGUGCACGCCGGACCUCACGCCUGCGCAAUGCCGCGUUUGCCUCGCCGGCAUCAUCAAGGGAAUGCCGCGGUCCGCGGACCGCGUCGGGGCCAAGUUUCUUGGGGUCAGGUGCAGCUACAGAUACGAGAUAUACACCUACCUCCGCGGCCCGGUGAUGGUGCGGCUGGCUGCGCCAGCGCCUGAGCCCGCUGCGCCAGCGCCUGAGCCCGCCGUAGGGCCAACGGCUCCGACUCCAGCAACCCUCGCCCGACGAGGAAAAUGGGGAAAUAAGACGGUAGUUGUUCUAGCAAUUACGCUACCUCUGGUUGUUGCAAUUCUAGCUAUCACUGCUGUUUGUCUCUGUUAUUCGAGGAAGAGGAGGACAAGACGAGCAAGCAGUGAGCAACCACCUUAUUCGGCUAAUAGUGAGGACAUUGCAAGCAUUGAUUCACUUAUCGCCGAUCUAUCAACAUUACGUCGUGCAACGGAUAACUUUGCCGCGGCGAAUAAGCUUGGAGAAAGAGGAUUCGGUGCAGUUUAUAAGGGAAACUUUCCUGAUAGCCGGGAGAUAGCGGUGAAGAGGCUCUCAAGAAGUUCAGCGCAAGGAAUAGGAGAGCUCAAGAAUGAGCUUAUUUUGGUCGCCAAGCUUCAACAUAAGAAUCUUGUCAGGCUUGUUGGGGUAUGCGUGCAAGAGCAUGAGAAAUUGCUUGCGUAUGAAUACAUGCCCAAUAAAAGCGUUGACACUAUUCUUUUUGAUCCAGAGAGAAGUAAGGAGCUAGACUGGAGAAAGAGAUUAAAGAUAAUAAGUGGGAUUGCUCGAGGAUUACAAUAUCUUCAUGAGGAUUCGCAGCUGAGAAUAAUCCACAGGGACCUCAAAGCGAGCAAUGUUCUGUUAGACUCCGAUUACACUCCUAAGAUUUCAGACUUCGGCUUGGCAAGGCUAUUUGGAGUAGAUCAAACAAGGGAGGUGACAAACCGAGUUGUUGGGACGUAUGGAUACAUGGCCCCGGAAUAUGCGGUGCGUGGCCAGUUUUCUGUAAAAUCGGACGUGUUUAGCUUUGGCGUUUUGAUGUUAGAGGUGGUGACAGGAAGACGAAGCAGUUGCUCCUGGAACUUCGACGAGUCUGUCAAUCUCUUAAGUCUGGUAUGGGAACACUGGACCAUGGGUACAACUGCAGAGAUCAUAGACUCAUCUCUGAGAGGCCAUGCCCCAAGAAACCAGGUGGUGAAGCUUUUUCACAUCGGCCUGCUCUGUGUCCAAGAUAACCCAGCAGAUAGGCCUACGAUGUCCACUGUAAAUUUCAUGCUUAGCAGUAACACUGUGUCUCUCCGGUCUCCAUCCAAGCCAUCAUUUCUCAUGUGUAUGAGCCCUACUUCUUCCGAAUCGACCGGUAUGCCAGGUAUGGCAUCACCAAAUGAAGUUUCAAUCACGGAGCUUGAACCAAGAUGA